Lolium perenne is the source of this 5316-nucleotide long non-coding RNA. RefSeq lists it as uncharacterized. Lineage: Eukaryota; Viridiplantae; Streptophyta; Magnoliopsida; Poales; Poaceae. The record is from RefSeq and is a predicted model, not a curated record.
AUACAGAGGCACACACACGGAGCAGCAGCCGCGGCCGGCACAUCCUUGGCUCCACGGCGGCCUGCGCCCCCUCCGCUUCCCGAUGGCCGGUGCCUCCUCGGCUCCCCCGCCGCCGGCGCGUCCUCUGAUGUGUGGCGGCCAGCACGUCCCGCGGCGGCCGGCGCGUCCUCGGGCCCUCCGGCGGCCUGCGCCCCUCGGCUGCCCGGAGGCCGGCCCGUCCGCGGCGGUUGGCGCCUUCUUGGUUCCCCGGCCGCCGGGCGUCCGUGCGGCGGCCAGCGCCUCCUCGGCUCUGCAACGUCCGGUGCCUCCUCGGCCCCGCGGCGGCCGGCGCAUCCUCGGCCCUCUUCUUCCUCCUCCGGCGGACUACACGGCGGCUCUCCGGCAAGGCACAGCCCCGUCGCCUUCCUCCUGUUCCUCUGGUGCCUCUCGCCGCCUCCCGCGCCGCGGCUCGCCUUCGUGCCGCUCUCUCUCUCUCUCUCUCUCUCUCUCUCGGCGCGCUUCCGUGCCCGUCCCGCGUGUGGCGUCCGACGGCAGACCGACACCACGGAGGUGGACGAGAAGGCAGGCGGCGGCGCGGAUGGGCGUGACGGAGCGCAAGGUAAGGAGUCGGAGCAGCGGACGUACCUGGUGGCCGCGGUGAUGUCCAGCCUCGGGAUCGCCUCCAUGGCCGCCGCCGUCUACUACCGCUUCACCUAGAAAAUGGAGGAAUCGUCCCGCCACCACACGGACGACGACCACGAAGCCACGAUGCAGCGUCCACCGAUGGAAAGGGACGUAGGGGAGGGGAUCCAUUGGUGGGGCAGAGCCUGUGGCGUCCAGCGGCAGCAAGGGGGGCGGGGGCGCCCAGGUUUCUCCCUUCAUCUCUCUCUCACUGCCGCCGCCGUGGCCCAGGUCCUCCCUGGCGUGUUCUUCUCAUGUCCCUGUGAGAGAUACCUCUUGCAGCUGCUGGUCCAGAUAAGAGAAAAGAUGCAAGUUUAGGUGCACAUCUGCCUAGAGUUCUCCAUCGACGACAUACAAGUUACAUCAGUCGAAAGACCUGGUUAGUUUUAUGCUCUCUUUUUUGUGUUUGUUCAUCUCCAAUUCUAGGUUCAGAUUAGUACUCCACUAGCUUGUGCGAGUUGCCACGAUGGGACAUGGAAGACCAUCAGGAAAAUCAGCGCAGUCCAGCCGUGGCUAUGAUGCACAUCUCUUGGCAAAAUUCGAGGACUUAAAUCUCGGGGAACAUAAGUGUCUCACAGGGAAGUUUUAGGCACAAGCUGUUCAAGGUACUGUACAGUUUUUCUUACACAUUCAGAUUUUAUUGGUGAGAGACAUGCUUAUGACAAUCCGUCCUCUUUAAAGAGAUUUCAUUUGAUUGUUCAUCUGCUCUUAUGUAAUUAGAGUGCAAGGAUAAUUUACUUUCAGCAUGUUUAGCCCGUGAGCGACCAGCAUUUUCCAAUGUUGGUUCUUAUGAGAUAUGGUAUCAGUACUCACCGUGAUGUGAAGAACCGUAAAAUUGUUUGUUACUGAUGCAUGCUUCCGUUUUUACCUUUCAUGUUGGCUGUCUAAUGAGUUGAUUAUAAGGCAGUCAGGUUAGGUGUGCAUGGCAUUAACUAAAUUCUUUUGCAAUGUGCAUAUAUUGCGUUAGGAACAUCAACCUUCAUAAAAUUUGUUUCUACUUACCUAUGGUUGUGUUCUCUAUUAUAAUAUUUAACCUGCGGUAUCAUAGGUGUCACAUUUGUUUACUUUUUCUCCCAAAUUUUAUGCAGGCUGCAAUUUUAAUUGAGGAUGGACUAUACAUUAGAAAUCACUAAGAUGAAUACUUCUCCCACUGUAUUGCUAAAAGAACAUGCCUAAUUAACAAAGAAAAUGCUAAAUAGACAACUGCAACUCAUGUGUAUUUAUUUCUUCAUGUUGACAAGGUAUUCUGAAAGAUGUUCGUAUCAAUGGUUCGUAUCAAUGCAGAGUAUUCUGAAACAUGUUUCCGUUUAAGAACGGGAUUGCCAUGGCAGAGCAUCUGAGAUUUAGUAUGGUUAGAGUCUAAAUCAUAGCUAAAGAAAUAAGGACGGCUUGCUACUUUCACUUUUUUGUUUGGUUCAUCCAAAUCCCGUCAUGUUAGAUAAGUACUGGAGAACAUGCUUUCCAAAGCAAAUUUAUUAUCUAUCCUUUCUCUAUCAAUUUUAUUUUAAAGUUUCGAUUUCUGUUUGCUUGACCCAAAUUCCUACAGAUGCACGAUUUCAUGAUAGUGCGCUUUUUAAAUCCUCGCCACCUCCAUGUACCUGGGUGAGCCACUACUUUAAUGGUUUAUGUUAAGAUUAUUGGUUACUUUUUCCAUAGGUUGGACGAAUUACUUGCACUACUCGCUUUCAUAGGUUUGUUUAUUAUUUUGUUCCUGAAAUAUCUCAUUUUUUCUGUUUUGAUGCUAAAGCCUACAAGAUAUGUCAUCAACGAAUAUUAUUUUUUGCCGUAUAGAGGAAAGUAUAACUUAUUCUCAAAUACCUUGAUUUAGGGCUUAUACUCUGUAAGAAACGAAUCUUGAGACAAAUAGAUUCUUACUGGAAAUAGGUGCUUCCGGGUGUAUUAAUUCCAUGUUUCUAAAAGAAAUAAUGCACUGUUGCCUCCAAUUGAAGCAUGAUACUAUGCGUACUAUGUAUGCUUGAAGAAUUUACUCUAAGGUUUAUACUUAAACCCAAACAUUCCUGAACAGUGAGUUCUUAACGGAGAUACAUUUAACAUUUCUUCAAGGGCAAAAAGAUUGGAUGGUUCAGACUCUUUUGUUAUGGUAUUUUUUUUUACCAAUUCUGCUACCCUGUAUGAAUUAAGCGAAGUUACCAUCAAGUCUUAGAACGGCUAUGGAGUAUGUUGGUGGUGGUGACUGAAUUCCCAAGUUUUCUUCCUUUGCCAUCAUGCCUCUGUUCUGAAUACAGUUUUCAUGAUAGUUAAAGCACACUGUCCAGAAAGGAUUAUGUAUGCAACCAUCAUACUGCUGACUACAUUGUGCAUCUCCCAUUUAUUAACUUCUAUCUGAGAAGUCCUUUUUGUGUUUUGUCUGCAUAUAUGAUAUACUGCUUAUAUUUACUUCUUGCUGGUUAAUUUCAAGAACACCUCCAUUGAGCAAUUGACAAUGUUACAUUGUGCAAGAGCUGGGAUCAUCCGCUUGCCACUUUCUUCCAAAGGUAAAGAUGAAAAGGAUAUUUCAUUUCUAUUCUUACAUGUCAAGCUAAUAAGGUGAAGUAGUAAUACAUAAUCUUCACGGGAAAUAAUAUUUUCUUGAAAAGAUAACUUUUUUAGUCAUUGCUUUGCAUCCGUACUAGCAUUAGGGUAUUGCGUUGUUGCAGAGGCUGGGUGUAUUUGGUAUCUAUCGAUAUUAAUAUAUUCCCUUUAUCGAAAAAUUGCUUUGCAAUAGAUGUCCAAUUUUUGUGCUUCCUCCCUUAAUUUUUGUAGGGCAUUGAUGUGUUGAAACAGUAGUAUAUUGAGCUUGAUGAGGGACUUAUCCAGUGUUUGGUCGAAUUUUAAAUUCCACAGCUUUACCAGAAUACUCAUAUUAUUUAGUAGUUAUAUUUUUAUAUGCCAGGAUCAUUAUUUAUUAUCAGAAUUGGUUCUGCCUUUGGAAUUAGCCUGUUGAAGUUUUUCCAUAGUAUAUAAUCUUUCUUUCAUUAGUUCAGUAGGCAUGAAUAAGAUUAUCGUAUAGACUGUAACAAUCAAGCUCUCCUUAGAAGUGUGUUAUCGCAUCCUUCUCUUAAAAAUAGCUUAUGAAGCUUCAUUUUGAGGGUAUGAGGGUCCAAUAUCUCCUUUUCUCAUUAUCUUCCAAUUUGUAUUAUAUGUGAUCCGAAUUAUUUAUGUAGAAUAUGGUUUACGGUAAAUUUAGAGAGAUUCAUACAUAGAUUUGCAGGUCAAACCCUGAAGAACUUGUAGUAGUUUUUCCUUCGGCAAGCAUGAAGAGGAGAAACACAAUUACCAAUAUGCAAAGGGAAGCGAUGUAUUUGCACAGUACAUUCUUUUUCUCAUCAACUCUAUAUUCUACAUACAUAUGAUGCUUGCUUUCAGGUUCCUUGCACAUUCCACAUUAAUUAAGUAACCGAGAUGCCAAAUUAUUUUAUAGUUCGUCGAAAGUAAAAUUUGCCAAUUCAGUUGUGCUAGCUCCCAUAUGAUAUCAUGUUACUCUGUCAGGCUGCCAUGUGCUGGCAAUGUUUAGCUAAACAAAUUAGUAAUAGUCUUAUUUGUUUGCUACAAAAUAAAUUAGCUAUAGUGCUCUUCCAGUGUCACAUGUUUCAUCAAGAUAGAGUUCUUUGAGUGUCACAAAAUUUUCUGUUAUAUAUAAAUGCUAGCUCCCAUAUGAUAUCGUGUUGCUCUAUCAGGCUGCCAUGAGUUGGCAAUGUUUAGCUAAACAAAUUAGCAAUAGUACUCUUUGAGUGCUACAAAAUAAAUCGGCAAUAGUCCUCUUGCAGUGUCACAUGUUUCACUAAGGAGAGUUCUUUGAGUGCCACACAAUUUUCUGUUCUAUUAUGUACAUUACACCCUUCCAUGCAUAAUAAGUGUAUUAGUUUAGUUUAAAAGGGACCCAAGAAUAUCCUCAUGCACAGUAAUCUAUUCAGUGAAAGAUGACCAUGGAAAAGUGGUGUAUUUCUGCACGUUUAGAACACACGAUUUGCUGAUAUAUGGAAAUAGCUAUUCAGUGAAAGAUGACCAUGGAGAAGUGCUUAAUUUAGAUUUCUGGGUGUCAUUCCUUCUCAAGUUUGCUGGUUAUGCAGACCUGCUCUACUCUUAGCGCAUGGCCUGUAGUUCAUGGUUAUUUGUAUGUAUCUGCUAACUAUGUUAAAAAUGGCAAGCCUACAAUAAAAGGAAAUUUGCAGGAUACACCAUGUCUGUUUUAAAAUAAUCAUGAUUUGAGAACAUAAAUACUUCUAUCUAUCAAUUCCUUGCUCAUAUCUUCGACACUAUUGCUUUUGCUUUGUAGAAAUUUGAUGAUUUCUUUGUAUGAAAUAUGAUGAUAUGCCCACAAGCCCACAAACACCACUUUGGGUCACUUUGAACGCAUCAAUGGCAAACUAUAGGCAUCAUUAUUUGUUUGAAAAGAAUAUUUGAACAGAAAUUUAAUGGAGAACACUGCUUGGACCACCCACUUCAGUGAAUAGUAGAGGCCAAGGACCCAACAAGAGGAGCCAGAACAUGCCAAGCACGGCACCGACGAGUCCGUCCGGUCUGAACUUGCAAGGGAUCUCUACAUUACGCGUUGCCUUCGGUUGUUUCCUUUCAAUCUUUUAGAUGUAUGCUAUGUACUGAAACUUACUAAGGGUGUACUAUUACAAUGUAAUUUCAUGCAUUGCUUAUCUUUCA